This 203-nucleotide long non-coding RNA is filed under the name Mytilus galloprovincialis (Mediterranean mussel). The record is from RNAcentral. Lineage: Eukaryota; Metazoa; Mollusca; Bivalvia; Mytilida; Mytilidae.
AAAAACAAGUAGAAUGAAAUUCAAAACAGUGUAGCUGUGGCCAUUGAUUGACACAUUAAAAUCAUCCAUUGACUGGGAUAAUUUAGGUGAACGUUUGUAUGUAACGACCAAUGCUCACUGUGUACUUUUUAAAGACACUUAAACUAUGGGGUCACCAAAGGUUCUCAACACCUAAAUAAAGUAAUUCGAAAAAUUAAUCAGAA